This 952-nucleotide small RNA is filed under the name Histoplasma capsulatum var. duboisii H88. RNAcentral describes it as "Histoplasma capsulatum H88 hypothetical RNA". The record is from RNAcentral. Lineage: Eukaryota; Fungi; Ascomycota; Eurotiomycetes; Onygenales; Ajellomycetaceae.
AACUUCAAGAUUUAUUAUUAGCUCAUCAAAUUGUUCAUCCGGUUCCCGUUUCCUCUACAAACCCUAGCUUCACAUCAAUACUCACGCCAUCAUACUCCCUAGAGGAGCCUGAAAAUGCCCCGCCGCGCAUUUCCCCGGCUCCUCAAUCUCCAUUUCAGCCGCUCUAAUCAUCACAGUCUUUUUCAACCCUUCAAACCUGCUGACCGUGUCCCAGUACAAGCGCCCCUCUACCCUCGACGCAGCUACCAUAUUUACAACCAACCACUCAACCAAGUACGCCCUCAAUGGCUCUUCUUCCUUCGCAUAGUGUUCUGCCAGUGUACCAGGCGGAGCCGCAGGUGGGCUUCCCGUCCCAUUGGGGUUAUUUGCAUCCGUGAUGUGAUUGGUGUCCAGACGUGGAAAAACAUAUGCAAUCAUUGUUAGCAUUGUCUUGUAGCUGAUAACGGGGAAUCCAAGACGGAGUUUCCGUAGGACGAGUGCUUGCAAGGCAGGUAUCUCGAAUGUCUGCGCCAGCGUAUAGAUGUAGCCGCAGCGCAGGACUUCAUUUUCAUGUUCUUCGUGGGUGACAAGACCUUCAAGAUAGAAGGUUAUGCCGCGAUUACGGGACGUGGAAGGCUUGUUCUCAAGAUGGUGGUGGCUUUUCCGUGAAGUGAUGAGCUGCGGGGUAUAUUCACCAAUCUCCAGAAAGGAGAGUAGCACUGCAAAAUCGGCGUGGGAGGUGUUGUCAAGAAUCGGAUCGCUGGCAGUGGUGGUUUGGUUCUUUCUCAUGAGGCUGCUCUCCAGAAGGCCGGAUUUGGCUACGCAAUGACGUGGGAUGUUGUAGAUUUUGCGACUCGUUCCUACGCCAAUGUAUACAUCCACUCUGCCCAGGAGAGGCUCCUUGCUGUUGUGUUGUUAGUCAUGCAUUGCAGAUAUCCAGACCAAGAAAAGUGGAAUUAGUAAAUAAAUGCCA